UCCACAUCGAUUUUGAUUAAUUUGAUCAACAAUUUUGUUAUCCCAAAAAUAAUCAACUCCCUGCACAUCACAAAAAUAAAUGAGGGUAUAGUUAAUAAAUUAAAGUGAGUAUGCAAAUGACAAAUGAUAUAAAAAAACAAGUAAAGCAUACAUUUGUUGUACUUAUAGUUGAUCCAUUUUGAUGAACCUGAUUGGCCAUACAAUUGUACUUCCUAAUGCAUCUUUAAGAAGAAAUAGCCCACGUGUGGGACGAUAUAAGGUAACAUUGUCAAUCACUUCAUUAACCCAACUCUCCAACAUUCAUCGCCAAG
RNAcentral lists this long non-coding RNA (311 nucleotides) under Olea europaea subsp. europaea. The record is from RNAcentral. Lineage: Eukaryota; Viridiplantae; Streptophyta; Magnoliopsida; Lamiales; Oleaceae.